GGACGAAGUAAGCGGGCACGUGCUGUCAAGUAAGGGGCGUAAGUGACGUGCACAAGGUUAAAGUACGCGGGCAUGAGUUGUCCAUGAGCUGAAGAUCGAGUGGGGCACACAAGUGAUGCCCAUGAGGUGAAACAUGCAAGACAUGUGUUGAAGGUGUGCAAGCUACUAACGAAGGACUAAUGGAAGAAAUGUGAAUGCCAACUUAGUCUCGGUACACGGUCAUGCUACUUGCUAUCGACGUGCGGGAUGCACGUGGGUCAGUAAUGGGCUGACGUAAGCUGAGAUGACAUGAAAGCCUAUCGGUUGGCCGAGUGUCUUGGAAGACAACCAUGACACAAGGAAGCGAUCGAUUAGUCACAAGAUGUGAGACUCGUGUGGGAGUAGCUUUCGUUGGUAAACCUCAACAAGUAAGAGGACGAUGUCAAAAGGGUCAAGUUGAAAAGAGAAGCACACAGAAAGAAAAAGAAAAAUGGAGUAUCAAGGAAGUAAGGAAAUAGGCUGGCCUCGGUUCAAGAAGAACCUUGGCGCCUCACGGGCUAAUUCCGCUGCGUCUAAAGUCGGCCCGUGACACUAAGCAAAACUGCAAAACUAUCUCGUGCGUGCCUGAAGAGAAAAAACAAAUCGGAGAAGCUAGAGCUAAUAAUGUUGAUGGACCAGUUGUUGUGAAAUCUAGAAAUGUAAUCAGGGGACAAAAUAUUGUUGUCACG
This 707-nucleotide long non-coding RNA is filed under the name Rosa chinensis. RNAcentral describes it as "sRNA RchiOBHm_Chr6g0308091". Lineage: Eukaryota; Viridiplantae; Streptophyta; Magnoliopsida; Rosales; Rosaceae. The record is from RNAcentral.